This 345-nucleotide unclassified non-coding RNA is filed under the name Hevea brasiliensis (rubber tree). The record is from RNAcentral. Lineage: Eukaryota; Viridiplantae; Streptophyta; Magnoliopsida; Malpighiales; Euphorbiaceae.
GAUGUGUCAAUUUUGCUCUCCAACAUGCUGCUUACUUCUUGCAUGGAUGGCCGCUUUGUGGGUUCUGGAUGGAUGCAUAGACUUACAACUUCGCAUAUGAUUUUGAGGUCCUCAUAUUCGAAAUGUUUCAACUCUGGAUCCACCAAGUAACACAUUACUUCUGGCAUUUCAAGAAACUCCUUCGCCCAAUCUACCAAGAAUCCUUUGUCCUUGCAGUAGGGAGAUCUCCCACUGAGCAUUUCCAAUAAAAGCACACCAAAGGCAUAUACAUUGCCUUGGAGAUCAAGAUGGCGCUCGUCUAGAGAAUUUGGAAGUACACAAAUAGCACCUUGGCUGCCUAUGGAG